RNAcentral lists this ribosomal RNA (622 nucleotides) under uncultured crenarchaeote. RNAcentral describes it as "partial 16S ribosomal RNA". It matches the Rfam family "Archaeal small subunit ribosomal RNA", at positions 111 to 739 of the family's 1478-position model. Lineage: Archaea; Thermoproteati; Thermoproteota. The record is from RNAcentral.
UUCCUUGGGNCGGGAUACCCCUGGGNNACUGGGGCUAAUACCGGAUAGAGCAUUGAUUGCUGGAAUGCACGAUGUUCGAAAGCUGAGGCGCCCAAGGAUAGGUCUGUGGCCGAUUAGGUUGUUGUUGAUGUAACGGAUCAACAAGCCUACGAUCGGUACGGGUUGUGAGAGCAAUAGCCCGGAGAUGGGUUCUGAGAGAAGAACCCAGGUCCUACGGGACGCAUCAGGCGCGAAAACUUUACAAUGUGCGAAAGCACGAUAAGGGAACUCUGAGUGCCUCCUAAGGAGGCUGUUCAGGUGUUUAAAAAGCAUCUGGAGGAAGGGCUGGGUAAGACCGGUGCCAGCCGCCGCGGUAACACCGGCAGCCCAAGUGGUAGUCACGCUUACUGGGUCUAAAGCGUCCGUAGCCGGCUGGGUAAGUUCCUUGGGAAAUUUGCUCGCUUAACGAUCAAGCUACCUGGGAAUACUACUUGGCUUGGGACCGGGAGAGGUCAAAGGUACUUCAAGGGUANGGGUGAAAUCCGUUAAUCCUUGGGGGACCCCNANUANCGAANGCGUCUGAUCAAACCGNAUCCAACGGUGAGGGACNAAGGCUAGGGGANCNAACCGAAUNAAANNCCCG